UACGUAGGUGGCAAGCGUUGUUCGGAAUUAUUGGGCGUAAAGGGCGCGUAGGCGGUUUGCUAAGUCAGUUGUGAAAGCCCGGGGCUCACCCCCGGAAGUGCAUUGGAAACUGGUGGACUCGAGUCCCGGAGAGGAGAGUGGAAUUCCUGGUGUAGCGGUGAAAUGCGUAGAUAUCAGGAGGAAUACCGGUGGCGAAGGCGGCAUCCUGGACCGACAUUGACGCUGAGGAGCGAAAGCUAGGGGAGCAAACGGG
RNAcentral lists this ribosomal RNA (253 nucleotides) under uncultured bacterium. Its description in RNAcentral is "partial 16S ribosomal RNA". It matches the Rfam family "Bacterial small subunit ribosomal RNA", at positions 524 to 776 of the family's 1533-position model. The record is from RNAcentral.